RNAcentral lists this ribosomal RNA (465 nucleotides) under Vreelandella stevensii. RNAcentral describes it as "partial 16S ribosomal RNA". It matches the Rfam family "Bacterial small subunit ribosomal RNA", at positions 338 to 795 of the family's 1533-position model. Lineage: Bacteria; Pseudomonadati; Pseudomonadota; Gammaproteobacteria; Oceanospirillales; Halomonadaceae. The record is from RNAcentral.
CCUACGGGAGGCUGCAGUGGGGAAUAUUGGACAAUGGGGGCAACCCUGAUCCAGCCAUGCCGCGUGUGUGAAGAAGGCCCUCGGGUUGUAAAGCACUUUCAGUGAGGAAGAACGCCUGGUGGUUAAUACCCAUCAGGAAAGACAUCACUCACAGAAGAAGCACCGGCUAACUCCGUGCCAGCAGCCGCGGUAAUACGGAGGGUGCGAGCGUUAAUCGGAAUUACUGGGCGUAAAGCGCGCGUAGGUGGCUUGAUAAGCCGGUUGUGAAAGCCCCGGGCUCAACCUGGGAACGGCAUCCGGAACUGUCAAGCUAGAGUGCAGGAGAGGAAGGUAGAAUUCCCGGUGUAGCGGUGAAAUGCGUAGAGAUCGGGAGGAAUACCAGUGGCGAAGGCGACCUUCUGGACUGACACUGACACUGAGGUGCGAAAGCGUGGGUAGCAAACAGGAUUAGAUACCCGUGUAGUC